RNAcentral lists this small nucleolar RNA (123 nucleotides) under Choloepus hoffmanni (Hoffmann's two-fingered sloth). RNAcentral's name for it is "Small nucleolar RNA SNORA70 (ENSCHOG00000016028.1)". It matches the Rfam family "Small nucleolar RNA SNORA70". From Rfam's summary of the family: snoRNA U70 seems to be exclusive to mammals and is a member of the H/ACA class of snoRNA which contain H (ANANNA) and ACA box motifs. The record is from RNAcentral. Lineage: Eukaryota; Metazoa; Chordata; Mammalia; Pilosa; Megalonychidae.
CUCCCCUUAAGAAAUCAAAUUUAAAUUAUUUUAAACCGUGGGGCUCUGCAGACAGCAGUCUCCAUGGAAGUGCAUGAAGCCUAUUGCUCAUAUGGUUUGCCUUAAGGGACCUUGUAGAUGGCU